Molecule: long non-coding RNA, 1208 nt
Organism: Carassius auratus (goldfish)
Lineage: Eukaryota; Metazoa; Chordata; Actinopteri; Cypriniformes; Cyprinidae
Exons: 3
Source: RefSeq, a predicted model, not a curated record
AGUGGCCCUAUUUUACAUUUAAGCCCCUGCCCCUGAGGAACUCUCUGCACGUCCCUGCAGCACAGAAGCUGUUUUUGAAACAUGCAGCCCUCAUUUUUAUUAAAUUAAAUCAUAGCUUUUGGAAGUUUAAUUGUCACACUAAACCAUAUCACAAUUCUAGUUUUACUUGAUGUUCUUGAUAUACAUUUGAUUAUGUUAGAAAAUAGCACUGGGCAUUUAUUUAUUUCAUUAUGUCAAAGGCUUCGUGGUCCAGGUUUGGACCGGAGUCUGUCAGUUAGUGACCCCUGCACUCACCUUAUGAAAUAACCGUCAUGCACGAUCUCUGCUACAGAUCAGAAUGAUUCAUAAAGUCAUGUGGCUUGUUGAGGAAAUGUAAAAGUAAUGUUUUAUAAUGAUUUUGUUCUUAUUGAUUAUUUGUGUUCUUCAGAUGCUGUUGCUGGAGUUGGUGAUGCAACUUAUGCUCAAUCUAUUAGGAAGAAGAAUAAAACAUAUGCUGUUGCUGAAGUUGAGGAUGCAACUUAUGCUCAACCUAUUAUGAAGAAGAAAAAAAAACGUCCCUGAGAAGACACAAGACGGCUAAAAGAGAUUCACAGCAGCAGACAGAGUAACGCUUGCAUUGCUUAAGAAAUGAUAAUGAAUGAACUGCUUAUGCACAUGCUUGAUUGAAAUACUUUAGAGAAAUGCACUGUAUUAUCUGUACACAUUUUAAUGUAUGUAAGCAAACAAAUAUCUAUAAUAAUUAGUACAAUAUUUUCUCCAGUGAGCACUUAUGUUUAAAGGUCCCGUUCUUCGUGAUCCCAUGUUUUAAACUUUAGUUAGUGUAUAAUAAUGUUGUUAGAGUAUAAAUAAUAUGUGUGAAAUUCUAAAGCUCAAUGCCAAGCGAGAUAUUUUAUUUAACAGAAUUCGCCUACAAAAAACGACCCGUUUGGACCACAGAGCUGGGUUUGUAUUUGUCGCAGGGGCGUAGCCAUCUUUUCAGAAGUGAGGGGGACAGAAAUUACACACACACAUACAUACAUUACAUAUCCAUAUAUAUAAAACAUUACAAUAUAAUGUUUCUAUCUAUAUAGCCUCAACAGUCAGUCAACAGUCAACAGUCAAUGAUAUCAGUCAACAGUUUUUGAACAGUAAGAUUGUUUUAUGUUUUUAAAGAAGUCUCUUCUGCUCACCAACCCUGCAUUUCUUUGAAAUAUUUUUACUAUAAAAAA